UAAGAUCUAUACUCUCGAUCUAUACUCUCGAACUAUUUAGAAUAAGAUCUAUUUUUUAAACUAUUUAGAAUAAGAUCUAUACCCUCGAUCUUGAUUACAAAAUUCCUAUUAUCAUUUUUUAGAGGAUAUUUAUUUUCAGCCGUUCAUUUUUACGCCCACUUGAUGGACAAGAGAAUAAUAUCGGAAAAGUAUAAAAUUUGAUUUCUAGAUACUUCAAGUGGUAUAAAUCAUAUUCAACGGUGCUGAUCAUCGAUUUGGAGGCUCCAUUAUCGAAAACAAAUAGGUGACAACAGAGCCCG
This 299-nucleotide long non-coding RNA is filed under the name Ananas comosus (pineapple). Its description in RNAcentral is "long non-coding RNA (ACOM_LNC021094)". The record is from RNAcentral. Lineage: Eukaryota; Viridiplantae; Streptophyta; Magnoliopsida; Poales; Bromeliaceae.